AGAUUGACAAAAAAAAAAGUAUUUGUGGCGGCCACUUGGAUAGGGACACGGGUCUCGCCGCCAAGGAUGUCCUUUUCCCCCCUCUCUGGAUCUCCGCUGCGCUGGCUUCAGUGAUUAUAGCUUUCCCCACAGACAUUAGCUGAGACUUAAUGGUGGGAGUAGACUGGUUUAUUAGGGCAUGGUACAUGCAAUUUAUACACAGAGGUCAACAGGGUUAACAAGCCAAGAGGUGGUCUGACUAUGGGGAGUAUAAAAGGGAAAAAUCGGGACUUCGUUCGUUUACCGAACCAUAGGGGGAAAAUUAACUGACAGAAAAUGUUCUGUCACAGUAUUUAAUCCCCAUUCACACACAUACACUGCGUCCUUGUGUGCAUAUUGGGGGCCCAGACAAAAUUCUUAUGGCAGCUCUGAAAAUCACAUUAAAAAAAGUAUGCAGAACUACAUUGGAAACAGAUAAAACAUAUUUAAUAAACAUAUUUAAUAAAACGAGACAACCUUAAUUUCUAAACUGUGCUCUGUUAUAUACCAAAUGUUAGUUACAUAGUUACAUAGACUGAAAAGAGACGUGUCCAUCAAGUUCAGCUUUUUUCACACCUAAAUUAGAGAUAUGCUGUUUAGCAAAACUUAAACACACAAAUAAAAAAAAUGUAGAUAAAUUGAUAGAAAC
Pelobates cultripes (western spadefoot toad) is the source of this 667-nucleotide non-coding RNA. The record is from the annotation of a GenBank genome assembly. NCBI's taxonomy places the organism in Eukaryota, Metazoa, Chordata, Amphibia, Anura, Pelobatidae.